RNAcentral lists this microRNA (21 nucleotides) under Physcomitrium patens. RNAcentral's name for it is "ppt-miR11320". The record is from miRBase by way of RNAcentral. Lineage: Eukaryota; Viridiplantae; Streptophyta; Bryopsida; Funariales; Funariaceae.
CCACUCGUUCAUUGUGAAACU